This 1400-nucleotide long non-coding RNA is filed under the name Homo sapiens (human). RNAcentral's name for it is "HSALNT0403895". Lineage: Eukaryota; Metazoa; Chordata; Mammalia; Primates; Hominidae. The record is from RNAcentral.
GCAUCAUUUUGCAUUCCCACCAGUGGUGAUGAAGCUUCCAAUUUCUCCCAGAUCAUGAUUUAACACUCAUUUUUAUUAAAUGCAACAACCCUUCCUGCAUCUGGCCUGAGUGUCCUGGGCCAGCCAACUGCUUGCUCUCCAUCUUUCCUGUUUGGUCAGAGGCCCUGGGUGCAGCCAGUGGGUUACGCACUCUGAUCCCCUCAGUGACUUCUCCUGGGAGGUCACCAAGGAUACUCAUUCAGUCAGGUCUUCCAGAGCCACAGUGUUGAUCCUGCAGUGAGGACAUGAGUGUGCAGUGACUGGACUCUCUCAGGCAGUCGUGGAAGCAGAGGAUUGCUCUGGCCAGCCUGGAGACAGUUCCCAUUGGUUCCUGGACUUGAUCUGAAUCAACUCCUUCUUCCUCACCAUCUCUUGCCUGGUGCUGCUGGCUGAGACGUUGCACCUGUGGGGGCUGUCCACUCCCAGCUCACGUCUUCUGGCAGCUCCUUACUCUAUUCUAAUGCGCCUAGUGGUACUGCCGAUUUUCUCUUUUCCCAGACACCUCUCUCCACACUCCUUCUCCCACAUUGGCCUGGCCCUCAUGGCUCUUUGAUCCUCAUGGAACAUUCUAUUGUCUCCUAGGUGAGAAGAAAAGGCAUCCCAGCUUAUAUUCAGACACAUGGCCUUGAACUCGUAAUAACUCACACAUGUAAGCCACAAUAACUUCAUUUGCAUGCAACCACCUUGAAUGAAUGGUCUCAGUAAAUGUGUCAUUUAUUCUCAAUAUUCUGGAGUGCUGGAAAAAAUGGGGAGUCAAAGGAUCCCUCAGUCUGCUGGUGUGACCUGGGGCACCCAUCCCUGUUCCCUCUCCUCUUACAUGGGAUAAAACCCCAGUGGAGCCGUGUCUCUGGAUCACUGUGAUGGAUUAGGUGUUCUGCUGAGAGCUGGGCUGUCUGCUUAGAAAUCAGCCUCCAGGCCUGACUUUUGGCCUCUGCCCCGCCUGUGGAGUCGGUGCGGGCUCCAGAUUCCAGAGGCGAAGGAUACAUCCUAGUGCCAGCUCAGAUCUGAAACAGGCGUGCCCUUCGUUUUCAGACAACUUCUGUAGCAGAUGAUAUGGUGUGCUCUCAGAUGCUGCUUCAGAGUGAAGGCACUCAUUCCCCGGCUGUCAGGAAGCUGACUGGUGAUGGGUCACAGAUUAAUAGUUUCCUUUGUAUUUCUUUUCCUCCUGGAUCAACCCUGUUCAACAGAAGUAUAUCAAGGCCACAUUUGUGAUUUAAACUUUUCUAGCAGCCAUGAAGGCAUGACUCAUUGGGGAUCAUCUUAGAAUCCUGCUUACCACACACGUUAAAAAAGGUUUAAAGAAGCAAAAUUAGUUUUAAAAAAAUGCGUUGUUAUUAUUUUAUAGAGACAGGGUCUCACUA